This 770-nucleotide ribosomal RNA is filed under the name Dysteria cristata. RNAcentral's name for it is "partial small subunit ribosomal RNA". It matches the Rfam family "Bacterial small subunit ribosomal RNA", at positions 524 to 1404 of the family's 1533-position model. The record is from RNAcentral. Lineage: Eukaryota; Ciliophora; Phyllopharyngea; Dysteriida; Dysteriidae.
UACAUGAGUGGUAAGCGUUGUUUAUAAUUGUUAGGUGUAAAAAAUCUUAUGAAGUAAACUUUUUAAUAAAUUUAAAUAUUUUAUUAAGUUUUAAAGUUAUUUAAUUGAAUACGCACGUAUAUUAGUUUUAGAGGUAAAAUUCUUUUAGACCGUAAUAUAUUUUUAAACGCGAAAGUUGUGCGUAUUAAUUGAAUUUAUUUUAUAGAUGAAAGUAUAGGUAACAACAAGGAUUAGAGACCCUUUUAGGCUAUACUGUAAAUUAUGGUAAGUUGUAUAAAGCAUAGCUAACGUAAAACUUACCUACCGGGGGGCUAAAGUCGCAAGACUCAAACUUAAAAAAAUUAACGGGACUUUCUACACGGUGGAACAUGUGAUUUAAUUCGGUAAUCCUCGAAAAACCUCACUAACAUAUUUUUUUUAUAAAAAAUUAUUAAAUUAAUUUUUUUUUUUAAAAAUAGGUAUUGCAUGGCCGUCGUCAGCUCGUGUUUUGAAAUGUAGCGUUUAGUCGUAUAAACGAGCGUAAUCCAAAUUUUUAUAUUAAAAAUGAUGGUUGAAGUCAAGUCUGUAUGGUCUAAUUAUGUUAGGCUACACAUGUGUUACAUAAGUUAAAACAAUUUAAUAAAAAAUAGUAAUAUUUUUUUUUUUAAAAAUAACCUAGUUCGGAUUAAAAAUUGAAACUCAUUUUUAUGAAGAUGAAAUCGUCAGUAAUCGUAUUUUAGAAUGAUACGGUGAAGUUAAAUAUAAGUUUGCACACACUGCCCAUCACGCUC